Molecule: small nuclear RNA, 124 nt
Organism: Capra hircus (goat)
Lineage: Eukaryota; Metazoa; Chordata; Mammalia; Artiodactyla; Bovidae
Source: Ensembl
GUGUUGUAUGAAAGGAAAGAAGGUUAGCACUCUUUAACAAGGAUGGAAGAGGCCCUUGGGCCUGACAACAUCCAUACCGUUAAGGCAUUGCCUCCUACUUCCUGGCAUUUAUCCACUGUUUUCA